UAAACAAAUAAUGCAAGAAAAUUUUAUUAGAUUUAGUUAAAUUAAUUAUUUAAAUAAAUAAAAAAUAUAGAUUUUUAGGUGAAAUUUAAAUUUAUAAUUAUAUUUAAUUAAAGUUUUUGAGGCUAAUAAAUUUAUUGAUAAACUAGGAUUAGAUACCCUAUUAUUAUAAACGGAAUUUAAGUUUCUAAAUUAGUAUUAGUUAUGUUCUUGAAAAUUAAAAAAUUUGGCGGUAUUUUAGUCUUUUCAGAGGAACCUGUCCUGUAAUUGAUAAUCCACGAUUAAAUAAACUUUUUUUAAAAAAUUUAUAUAUCGUCGUAGUUUGAAUAUUUUUGAAGAAUUUUAAUAUUCAAGAUUUAUAAUGAUAAAAUAAAUCAGAUCAAGGUGUAGUUUAUAAAAAAGGAGAGAUGGGUUACAUUUUUAAUAAAAUUGGAUAUUAAAAUUUAAUUUUUAAUUGAAAUUGGAUUUGAAAGUAAUUUUAAAUAUUUAUUUAAAAUGAUUUUGGCUCUAAAAUAUGUACAUAUUGCCCGUCGCUUUUGUUUUUAAAAUGAAAUAAGUCGUAACAAAGUAGAUUUACUGGAAAGUGAAUCUAGAA
This 592-nucleotide ribosomal RNA is filed under the name Psilothrix sp. PSI01. RNAcentral describes it as "partial 12S ribosomal RNA". Lineage: Eukaryota; Metazoa; Arthropoda; Insecta; Coleoptera; Melyridae. The record is from RNAcentral.